Molecule: ribosomal RNA, 468 nt
Filed under: uncultured bacterium
Lineage: Bacteria
Description: partial 16S ribosomal RNA
Rfam family: Bacterial small subunit ribosomal RNA
Source: RNAcentral
GACGAACGCUGGCGGCGUGCUUAACACAUGCAAGUCGAACGGACAGGCCCGGCUUUUGUGGGUUGCUCGAUUGGCGAACGGGGGAGUAACACGUGAGGAACCUGCCCUUGACUGUGGGAUAACUUCAGGGAACUGGGGCUAAUACCGGAUAUGAUCUUUUGCUGCAUGUUGGGGGUUGGAAAGUUUCGGCGGUUGGGGAUGGACUCGCUGCUUAUCAGCUUGAUUGUGGGGUAGGGGCUGACAACGGCUUUGACGGAUAGGCUGCCUGGGAGGGUGGCCGGCCACCUUGCGCCUGCGAUACGCACCAGUAUCCUACGGGCCGCAGUAGUGGAGAAUCUUGCAGAGUGGGGGGAAGCGAGAUGCAGCAGUGCCGCGUGCGGGAUGACGGGCUUCGGGUUAUAAACAGAUUUCGAAUGAACCGAGGAGAGAGUGACGGUACUGAGUCAAAAAGCCACGGCUAACUACGUG